This 349-nucleotide transfer-messenger RNA is filed under the name Armatimonadetes bacterium CG07_land_8_20_14_0_80_40_9. It matches the Rfam family "transfer-messenger RNA". Rfam says of the family: Bacterial tmRNA, also known as 10Sa RNA or SsrA, is named for its dual tRNA and mRNA-like properties. Its role is to liberate the mRNA from a stalled ribosome. To accomplish this part of the tmRNA is used as a reading frame that ends in a translation stop signal. The record is from RNAcentral. Lineage: Bacteria; Bacillati; Armatimonadota.
GGGGGCGAAAGGGUUCGACGCCAUUAGGUCCCUUUAAGUGGCAGUCUGUGAUUGAGGGAAGGUCACACAAAACACCCUCAAAAAAAUAAGUGCCAAUGAAUAUGCACUUGCUGCUUAAAAAUUAAGUAGCCGUCCUUCUCUUCUUUGCCUGUGGGAGGGGAAAGGGCGUUAAAUAGCAGGCUAAGCUUGGUCUUCUUGCUCGGGGAUACCAGGUAAAAGAUAAGAGCUCGUCUUCUGGCUAUCCUGUCUUAAGGAGCGUCAGGAGAUUAAAUCAAAAUUAAGACUAUGACUGUAGAAACUUAAAGGGGAUAGUGAACGGACGCGGGUUCAAUUCCCGCCGCCUCCACCA